Molecule: ribosomal RNA, 253 nt
Filed under: uncultured bacterium
Lineage: Bacteria
Description: partial 16S ribosomal RNA
Rfam family: Bacterial small subunit ribosomal RNA
Source: RNAcentral
UACGUAGGCAGCAAGCGUUGUUCGGAGUUACUGGGCGUAAAGAGUGCGUAGGUGGUGCCCUAAGUCUGUUGUGAAAUCUCCCGGCUUAACUGGGAGGGUGCGGUGGAAACUGGGGUGCUUGAGUGUGGGAGAGGUAAGCGGAAUUCCUGGUGUAGCGGUGAAAUGCGUAGAUAUCAGGAGGAACACCGAUGGCGAAGGCAGGUCUCUGGGCCACUACUGACGCUGAGAAGCGAAAGCAUGGGGAGCGAACAGG